AAAAAGAAAUAGUUUUAAAAUGGUGGUACUCCAUCAAUAGUAAAAUUUCCAACGCGUUUUUUCUCAUUUCUUUACAUUUAUCUUCAUCUUGGAUUUUUUUUUUUACCUAACACGUUUAAUUUAUAUUUUUACACAUUUUCAUUUUUUUUAUUUUCCUUUUUCCUAUUUAUACAGUGUUUGCCAAACAAAAAACUUAGUAAAUGCAUAUUUACA
Molecule: long non-coding RNA, 213 nt
Filed under: Vigna radiata
Lineage: Eukaryota; Viridiplantae; Streptophyta; Magnoliopsida; Fabales; Fabaceae
Description: long non-coding RNA (VRAD_LNC001638)
Source: RNAcentral